CUUAGCUUAACUAAGACACGGCCAUUGAUACUGUUUGACUUGAAUAGUAUGGAAGUAACUAGAAUAUGUAGUGUAGCGGUGAAAUGCUUAGAUAUUACAUGGAAUACCAAUUGCGAAGGCAGGUUACUACGUAUUUAUUGACGCUGAUGAACGAAAGCGUGGGGAGCGAACAGGAUUAGAUACCCUGGUAGUCCACGCCGUAAACGAUGGAUACUAGCUGUUCGGUUUUCGGACUGAGUGGCUAAGCGAAAGUGAUAAGUAUCCCACCUGGGGAGUACGUUCGCAAGAAUGAAACUCAAAGGAAUUGACGGGGGCCCGCACAAGCGGUGGAGCAUGUGGUUUAAUUCGAUGAUACGCGAGGAACCUUACCAGGGCUUAAAUGUAGAUUGACAGAUUUGGAAACAGAUUUUUCUUCGGACAAUUUACAAGGUGCUGCAUGGUUGUCGUCAGCUCGUGCCGUGAGGUGUCAGGUUAAGUCCUAUAACGAGCGCAACCCCUAUUGUUAGUUACCAGCGCGUAGUGGCGGGGACUCUAGCAAGACUGCCGGUGCAAACCGUGAGGAAGGUGGGGAUGACGUCAAAUCAUCACGGCCCUUACGUCCUGGGCUACACACGUGCUACAAUGGCAAGUACAGAAAGCAGCUACCUGGCAACAGGAUGCGAAUCUCCAAAGCUUGUCUCAGUUCGGAUUGGAGUCUGCAACUCGACUCUAUGAAGCUGGAAUCGCUAGUAAUCGGAUAUCAGCCAUGAUCCGGUGAAUACGUUCCCGGGCCUUGUACACACCGCCCGUCAAGCCAUGGAAGCUGGGGGUACCUGAAGUCGGUGACCGCAAGGAGCUGCCUAGGGUAAAACUAGUAACUAGGGCUAAGUCGUAACAAGGUACCAAU
This 886-nucleotide ribosomal RNA is filed under the name bacterium R17-2. Its description in RNAcentral is "bacterial SSU rRNA". It matches the Rfam family "Bacterial small subunit ribosomal RNA", at positions 603 to 1503 of the family's 1533-position model. The record is from RNAcentral.